UUCCGGUUGAUCCCGCCGGACCCCACUGCUAUCGAGGUGAGACUUAGCCAGGCCAGUCGAACGACUCGGACUAUGGCGAGAAGUGGCAAACUGCUCAGUAACACGUAGCUAACCUACCCUCAGGACGGAGACAACCCCGGGAAACUGGGGUUAAUCCCCGAUAGGCGUGAAUUCCUGGAAUGGUGUCACGCCGAAACGUUAACACACCAUGUUUGUGUACACGCCUGAGGAUGGGGCUGCGGCCGAUCAGGCAGUUGGUGAGGUAACGGCUCACCAAACCUUUGACCGGUACGGGCCGUGAGAGCGGUAGCCCGGAGAUGGACACUGAGACAAGGGUCCAGGACCUACGGGUCGCAGCCGGUACGAAACCUCCACAAUGCACGCAAGUGCGAUGGGGUUACCUCGAGUGCCGCCUGAAGAAGGCGGCUUUUCCAUUGUGUAAUGAGCCGUGGGAAUAAGGGGGGGGCAAGACUGGUGUCAGCCGCCGCGGUAACACCAGCCCCCCGAGUGGUGGGGAUGUUUAUUUGGCCUAAAACGUCCGUAGCCAGCUAGGUAAAUCUCUCGUUAAAUCCAGCGUCCUAAGCGUUGGGCUGCGAGAGAGACUGCCAAGCUAGAGGGUGGGAGAGGUCAGCGGUAUUUCUGGGGUAGGGGCGAAAUCCAUUGAUCCCAGGGGGACCACCAGUGGCGAAGGCUGCUGACUAGAACACGCCUGACGGUGAGGGACGAAAGCUGGGGUAGCGAAUCGGAUUAGAUACCCGAGUAGUCCCAGCCGUAAACGAUGCACGCUAGGUGUUGGGUUGGCCAUGUGCCGACUCAGUGCCACAGGGAAGCCAUUAAGCCUGCUGCCUGGGGAGUACGGUCGCAAGGCUGAAACUUAAAGGAAUUGGCGGGAGAGCACCACCAGGCGUGAAGCCUGCGGUUUAAUUGGAUUCAACGC
RNAcentral lists this ribosomal RNA (937 nucleotides) under uncultured archaeon. RNAcentral's name for it is "bacterial SSU rRNA". It matches the Rfam family "Archaeal small subunit ribosomal RNA", at positions 1 to 918 of the family's 1478-position model. The record is from RNAcentral.